Long non-coding RNA from Herpailurus yagouaroundi (jaguarundi), 520 nucleotides. RefSeq lists it as uncharacterized. The transcript has 3 exons. The record is from RefSeq and is a predicted model, not a curated record. Lineage: Eukaryota; Metazoa; Chordata; Mammalia; Carnivora; Felidae.
ACAUUUUAUUCUUCAGAUAUCCUCCUAAUAAUUAAAGAUGACAUAAUUUCAGAUGUUAACAUUUUUGAAAUUAGAUGUUAACCUUUUAAAAAAUUCUGUACAUCAUUUUAAAUUUUUGCACAGAGCCUGUUACAAAGACUGGAAUUCUUUUAAGCAUAAAAGAUAUUCUUGUACUUAAUAGAGAAAGUCAGCAUGUUAUGGGUGAGUUCCUCCCAUCCCAACAAUUGUGGGAAAUUAACUAUUUUAACGAGUGAAGUUAAAGUAAAAUUGAGACACUUUUUCCUAACUAUAUAAAAUAAAAAUUAGGUAUUGGGUGUAUUGAAAACUUAGGUAAGUAAUAAUAAAAUAACUUUUAUUAUUUUUUAAUUUACAUCCAAGUUAGUUACCAUAUGGUGCAACAUUGAUUUCAGAAGUGGAUUCAUUAAUGCCCCUUACCCAUUUAUCCCAUCCCCCCUCCCACAAGCCCUCUGGCAACCCUCAGUUUGUUCUCUAUAUUUAAGAGUCUCUUAUGUUCUGUCCC